Molecule: ribosomal RNA, 253 nt
Filed under: uncultured bacterium
Lineage: Bacteria
Description: partial 16S ribosomal RNA
Rfam family: Bacterial small subunit ribosomal RNA
Source: RNAcentral
UACGGAGGGGGCUAGCGUUGUUCGGAAUUACUGGGCGUAAAGCGCACGUAGGCGGCUUUGUAAGUUAGAGGUGAAAGCCCGGGGCUCAACUCCGGAAUUGCCUUUAAGACUGCAUCGCUAGAAUUGUGGAGAGGUAAGUGGAAUUCCGAGUGUAGAGGUGAAAUUCGUAGAUAUCGAGAGGAACACCUGCGGCGAAGGCGGGUUGCUGGGCUGACACUGACGCUGAUGUGCGAAAGCCAGGGGAGCGAACGGG